RNAcentral lists this ribosomal RNA (426 nucleotides) under uncultured bacterium. Its description in RNAcentral is "bacterial SSU rRNA". It matches the Rfam family "Bacterial small subunit ribosomal RNA", at positions 355 to 775 of the family's 1533-position model. The record is from RNAcentral.
UCGGGAAUUUUGGGCAAUGGGCGAAAGCCUGACCCAGCAACGCCGCGUGAAGGAUGAAAUCCCUCGGGAUGUAAACUUCGCAAGAACGGGAAGAAUAAGUUUGUGCUAAUACCACAAGCGAUGACGGUACUGUUUGUAAGCUCCGGCUAACUCCGUGCCAGCAGCCGCGGUAAUACGGGGGGAGCAAGCGUUGUUCGGAUUUACUGGGCGUAAAGGGCGCGUAGGCGGCCUCCGCAAGUCAGUUGUGAAAUCUCCGAGCUUAACUCGGAAAGGUCAACUGAUACUGCGGGGCUAGAGUGCGGAAGGGGCAACUGGAAUUCUUGGUGUAGCGGUGAAAUGCGUAGAUAUCAAGAGGAACACCUGCGGCGAAGGCGGGUUGCUGGGCCGACACUGACGCUGAGGCGCGAAAGCUAGGGGAGCGAACGG